UCGGUUUUGAAUCUCUUCUCUUAAUUUUUAUCUUUCAAAUUUCUUCGUCUCUUAUCCUUUUCUUCUUUAUUCUCUGUUGAUGUGAAUGAGUCGAGGACUGAAUUCAGAUUGAGUUGAAGGUGAGGUUUGGAACUGAUUCACUGAUCAAAUGUAGUUGAUGAUUGUGAUGGAUGAAGGUGAGGGAAUACGUGGGGGUGGAGCAAUGAUUGAUGAAGGUUGAAGAUUGAUUGAUAUCCGGGGUUGAGCUUGGAGCACUCGGGUUCAGUUGAGAGUGAUGAGUGGUGAUGAUUGUGAUUGAUGAUUGAGAAAGUUGAGUUGAGAGAGAGUGAAGAUUAUGAUGAAUUGAAGGGAGUAAUAAAGGUGAGAGUGAAUCCAAGAGAGCAUGAUUGGGAAAUGGUUGGAGCUUUACAAAAGUUGGAGUUGGUUGCAACUGAAUGGGGCAAGUUAGAUCAGCUCAGGCAGCUUAGGGAUUGCAUUGCAGGUCCUGUGCAACAGGUUUGGAACAUGUUCUUUAUUUGGUAGGUUGGCAGGUGGGAUGCUAGGAAAGUGUGGCCUAUGGAAAUUAUGCAUUGGCUUUGGCAUUGCCUUGUACAUGAUAGGUUUGAAUGAACUGAUGUGUUAUAUUGCAGCAGGUAUGAGUGCAUUGCUUUAUGGUUCAUGACAGUAGCAAGUCUGCAUUAUUUGGAAAGCCAAUUGCAAGUUUGGCAUUGCAUGGUUUUAUUUUGAUUCAAAUGAUACAGGUCCUGACUUGGAUAAUGGGAAUGGUUUUGGCUUGGUCCUAGCAUGCAUAGGCUCAAAGCAAAGUCCAAAUAUGGCUAAUGUACCAUUGUAUUCUGACUUGGUCAUGGACAAUGGUGGUUGAACACAAAAGGUCAAGUUUGAACUUGAAGCUUUCAUGUAAAGAUGGAAAACUAAUGGAUCAUGGUGGAACCUUGGAGAUUAAAAAUGGGAUUUAGGGCUUUAGGAUGAGAAUUUAGGGUUUUAGGGAUUUGGGUUGACUUUGGUCAAAGUUGACCAAAAAGUCAAAUGUUGACCAAAGUCAACAUUUGGUCAACAUUUCCAUUGCUUUGUAAUCUUUCAUGUUUUGGACAUCUUCAUGCUUGUAAUGAAUGGAAUUGACACAUAAUGGAUGAAAUAGAUUGGUUCUUGGAUUUAA
Lathyrus oleraceus (garden pea) is the source of this 1156-nucleotide long non-coding RNA. RefSeq lists it as uncharacterized. The transcript is spliced from 4 exons. Lineage: Eukaryota; Viridiplantae; Streptophyta; Magnoliopsida; Fabales; Fabaceae. The record is from RefSeq and is a predicted model, not a curated record.